ACUUAUUUAAAGAUGUAUAAUGUGUUUAAAUUGAGUGUUUUAGUGUCCACUUGUAUGAUAACAUUUAAAAGAUAAACAAUUUGUUGAUAUUUUAUAAUGUUAGAUGUUUUUGUAUGCAAGUGAUGAAUAUUAAAUUUCUCCAAAUCUGAUGAAGAAACAAACUCAUCUACAUUUUGGAGGGCCAGAAGCAUGUUAUACAGCCCUGCAGUAUGAGGUGGAGAGAAAAGAACAGGGUCUUGAAUCCACGGGUGGGACGAAGUGGAGCGUCUUCCCUCACCGCACACAGUUCUGCAGCUUUCCAUUGAUUCACUGCCUAGAACCUGAACCCUGGGCCGGCAGGGUGCCGGGGGACUUAUAGAUCACCUUCAAAAAUAGCCUGUCCAGAGGGGAGGACAACGGGAUAAAGGGUGGAGAGAGAGAGUCUGGCAAGGAGAGAAUCCUCCCUCUCCAGGCAAGCCACCGAUAGCACCCUGUGUGUAUUUAUAGAUGAACAACAGCAAACCUGAACCUAGAUCAAUAUGCUCUGGGACGUGACAUGAUCUGCUCGCUGAAGGGAUGGAAACCUGGCUGAGAGUACAGGCCCCUGGGACGCAGAACAGGGAUAAACCUCAGGGCCCGUGAAAAAAGUGAAGAAAAAAAGAAAAAGUCAAGAAAGACGCCAGCCCAAGGCCAAUGAAGAUGAUAAAACUAUCAAAUCAUGCCUGACUGCAUAUAAUAAGCGAGAAGUGGAAUAUGAUCAGUCUUCAGAGAGCGGACGCGGCUGCAAGAUGGAGAAACUGCAAGUGUUAGCUCAUCCUACAGUGACCCACAAGAUACAUGUUGACAUCCCACUGCUGGUUAAAGCACCGACCAGCCAAUCACAGGGUGACACGGCUGCGGCUCCAAUGUUCUGCCUCACGGAGCGGGACGGGCCUGAGCCGCUGGGAAGCAGCAGUAUUGAUGGCUUCCCUCCAUGAAAUGUAAUGGAUAGUAGAGACUUGAAGACUUCACGCUCUCUGAGCGAAUGUGUUGUGUGUAGCCACAGAGAGGCAAUAUCCUGCUGGACACCCGGCUGACCCUGUUGAUGGCUGAAUGAAGGUGUUUUGCGAGGGGCUGAUAUGAGUCUGAAGGAUGACAGAAGCCUGAGGCUGUGGACCGCUUGAG
Molecule: long non-coding RNA, 1143 nt
Organism: Cyprinus carpio carpio
Lineage: Eukaryota; Metazoa; Chordata; Actinopteri; Cypriniformes; Cyprinidae
Source: Ensembl